GGCCGCUGUCGCAGGGGAACCCCUAUCCCCGGAGGAAUUGCUCCCAAAAGGCGACGUGGAGAAGACUAAGGAGGAGUUGGAGGAGGACGACGAGGAGAAGCUAGAUGAGACCUGGUCGGAGAGACUAUGGGGCCUGAUGGAGAUGUUUCCGAAGAGGGUCCGGUCUGCGGCCAGAACCUCUUCUUUCUCUCCCUCUUUGUGGCUCACAAAAUGUACAGGUUUCCCAGGGCAGCCGUGUGGAUUGGGACCACUUCCUUUAUGAUCCUGGUUCUUCCCGUUGUCUUUGAGACUGAGAAGAUGCAAACCGAGCAACAGCAGCAACUGCAGCAGCAGCAGAUACUUCUAGGGCCUAACACAGGGCUCUCAGGAAGAAUGCAAGGGGCUCUUCCUUCACUUCCUGGAAAGAUCU
This 409-nucleotide long non-coding RNA is filed under the name Homo sapiens (human). Its description in RNAcentral is "non-protein coding lnc-FZD4-8:1". The record is from RNAcentral. Lineage: Eukaryota; Metazoa; Chordata; Mammalia; Primates; Hominidae.